Molecule: non-coding RNA, 252 nt
Organism: Pelobates cultripes (western spadefoot toad)
Lineage: Eukaryota; Metazoa; Chordata; Amphibia; Anura; Pelobatidae
Source: the annotation of a GenBank genome assembly
AUUGCUAGCUCCUCCAUAAUGAUUUAUUAAAAUGUGGCAAAAGAGAUAGAACAAUAUUAAUCAUGCUGUUAGCAGUUUCAUAUAAAUGAUUAAAAGAACACUCUAAGCACCAACACAACUGCACCUUAAUAUAGGAGUUUUGAUGCUGUCUGGCAAUCCAGUUUCUGGGAAAUGGCAAUGUUUACAUUUUGCCUGAAACAAGCAUUUAGUGGCAGUCAGGUUAAAACCUCUAAAGGCACUUACUCCUCAUAG